Molecule: ribosomal RNA, 254 nt
Filed under: uncultured bacterium
Lineage: Bacteria
Description: partial 16S ribosomal RNA
Rfam family: Bacterial small subunit ribosomal RNA
Source: RNAcentral
GACGAACCGUGCGAACGUUAUUCGGAAUCACUGGGCUUAAAGCGCGUGUAGGCGGGACGGCACGUCGGUCGCUGAAAGCCCCCGGCUCAACCGGGGAACGGGCGCCGAUACGACCGUCCUGGAGGGACGUAGGGGGACCUGGAACAUCCGGUGGAGCGGUGAAAUGCGUUGAGAUCGGAUGGAACGCCCGUGGCGAAAGCGAGGUCCUGGACGUUUUCUGACGCUGAGACGCGAAAGCGUGGGGAGCGAACAGG